RNAcentral lists this unclassified non-coding RNA (230 nucleotides) under Megalospora lopadioides. RNAcentral describes it as "partial contains 5.8S ribosomal RNA, internal transcribed spacer 2, and large subunit ribosomal RNA". The record is from RNAcentral. Lineage: Eukaryota; Fungi; Ascomycota; Lecanoromycetes; Teloschistales; Megalosporaceae.
CGCACAUUGCGCCCCCUAGCAUUCUGGAGGGCAUGUCUGUUCGAGCGUCAUUACACCGAUCAAGCCCGGCUUGCGGUUGGGUUCCCCGUUCGCGGGUUACCCCAAAGACAGUAGCGGCGCCUGGGGGACCGUGAUGCAGCGAGCUUUUAGCACGUGUUGCGGCGCUUCUGGGCCCGUCCCAACCCUCUAAGGUUGACCUCGGAUCAGACAGGAUUACCCGCUGAACUUAA